AUUGAACGCUGGCGGCAUGCUUUACACAUGCAAGUCGGACGAGUGGCGAACGGGUGAGUAAUAUAUUGGAACGUACCGAGUAAUGGGGGAUAACCAAUCGAAAGAUUGGCUAAUACCGCAUAUUAUUCUAGCGGCCAAUGUCUUAUUAGCUAGUUGGUGGGGUAAAGGCCUACCAAGGCGACGAGCAGUAGCGGUUCUGAGAGGAUGAUCCGCCACACGUGGACGGGGACACGGCCCAGAAUCCUAGGGGAGGCAGCAUUGGGAAAUUUUGGACAAUGGGCGCAAGCCUGAUCCAGCCAUGCGGCGUGUCUGAAGAAGGCCUUCGGGUUGUAAAGGACUUUUGUUAGGGAAGCGGUACCUAAAGAAUAAGCACCGGCUAACUACGUGCCAGCAGCCGCGGUAAUAC
RNAcentral lists this ribosomal RNA (406 nucleotides) under uncultured bacterium. RNAcentral's name for it is "partial 16S ribosomal RNA". It matches the Rfam family "Bacterial small subunit ribosomal RNA", at positions 30 to 526 of the family's 1533-position model. The record is from RNAcentral.